Molecule: ribosomal RNA, 568 nt
Filed under: uncultured bacterium
Lineage: Bacteria
Description: partial 16S ribosomal RNA
Rfam family: Bacterial small subunit ribosomal RNA
Source: RNAcentral
UGGGGAAUAUUGCACAAUGGGCGCAAGCCUGAUGCAGCAACGCCGCGUGAGGGAUGACGGCCUUCGGGUUGUAAACCUCUUUUAGCAGGGAAGAAGCGAAAGUGACGGUACCUGCAGAAAAAGCGCCGGCUAACUACGUGCCAGCAGCCGCGGUAAUACGUAGGGCGCAAGCGUUAUCCGGAAUUAUUGGGCGUAAAGAGCUCGUAGGCGGUUUGUCGCGUCUGCUGUGAAAUCCGGAGGCUCAACCUCCGGCCUGCAGUGGGUACGGGCAGACUAGAGUGCGGUAGGGGAGAUUGGAAUUCCUGGUGUAGCGGUGGAAUGCGCAGAUAUCAGGAGGAACACCGAUGGCGAAGGCAGAUCUCUGGGCCGUAACUGACGCUGAGGAGCGAAAGGGUGGGGAGCAAACAGGCUUAGAUACCCUGGUAGUCCACCCCGUAAACGUUGGGAACUAGUUGUGGGGUCCAUUCCACGGAUUCCGUGACGCAGCUAACGCAUUAAGUUCCCCGCCUGGGGAGUACGGCCGCAAGGCUAAAACUCAAAUGAAUUGACGGGGUCAUAGCUGUUUCCU